CUGAAAUCAGGCUGAGUCUUGAAUCCAUGAUGGUCAUUCGUCAGUUGCCAGCCUUGUUCUCUUUCCUGGUGGGAAAUGAAGACAGUCUUAUCAGGAAGGACGUUCCAAGGGCUUAGAGGUUACCCCCAGGAGCCAGGGACAAAGGGACAAACCUUUCUUUGGGUGAGGUUAACCCUUUGCCCUGAGCGGCCCUGAGAAGGUGACGUCGGCUGAGAGAGGAGGGCUUGGCCAGCACACCGAGUCAGCGUGGGACGCUCGGCCACCGGGGAGAGUAGAUGGCGUUCCCCAACACGGGAGGCACAGAUUCCAGGGUGUUCGGAGUUGUCAACAUCACCCCAGACGGGUGUUCUUCAACACAUGAAACACGUGGAGCAGGGAUGUGUCUGUCGGCCCCGAGCCAGCAAGCCCAGGCUGCUUCUCCUCCCUCCAGGAGCGUCAUUACGCCAGCUGCCUUCACGCUCGCUCACCAAAAAGGAAGGUGCAUGCGUGUGUGUAUAUUACAUUCUACAGUCAUGUACGGCAUAUACGCCUGACUGCAUAUACAGUGACGGUCCCAUGAGAUUAAUACCACACAGCCCAGAUGUGUAGCAGGCUAUACCAUCCAGGUUUGGGAUGGGACAGAGCGUGGCAGAGACGACUGCAGCCCUGCCUCUCCCCCGUCUGCUCCCCUUCUCCCUCACCCAGGAGGAUGGAGUCCAUGGCCACAAGCCUUUGUCUUUCUCAGGCUCUGCCCAUUGGAUGAGGAGCCUGAAGCACAGCGAGCUUAAGUGACUGGCCUUGGGGCGCACAGCUAAUUACCCCAGAUUCAAACAGAGCCAAACCAUCGGUGGAAACAGCGAGGCUUUGUCUUGGCGAUUCUGUGGGGAUGCACACCCCCCGUAGCGCCGCCUUCGCCGAUGCUCAGCACACCGCAGACGCCUCAGCGCACCGAAAGAAACAUAGAAUGGGACAGCCGCCUCGACCGGUUCUGCGGAAACAAAGCCAUCAAUAUUGUUUUAAAUUUCGCUUCUUCCUUUUUAAAUGGUGGUGCAUUUUAAACGAUGAUUACAUCUUAGCUGGGUGAAAGUAAUAAUCUUAUGGGAAAUACAGUGUAGGGAGAUUUCACCCUUCCUCUCCGUCCCAGCCCACCGGGUACCCUUCCUGGCAGCCACAUCUGUUACACAUUCCUGAAGGGGUAGUUCUAAGCACAUGGCAUUGUCAGCCCCAUUGCCCUCCCCCCCUUUUUUUUUUAACAGGAUAGUACUUUUUGCACCCAUUUUUCUGCAACUUUCUAUGUUCAAUUUAAUGUGAAGACUGCACAGCAGAGGUGAAAAGAACGGACUGAACCCGACUAAGUUUGACUCCGGCCUCUCCUCUUGCUGUGCUGGGACUCUGAGCCAGUUGUUUAACCUCUAGUGCCUCAUUUUCCUCAGCUCUAAAAUGGGGAUUGCCAUGAGGGUUGCAUGAAUGAAAAUCUGCAAAGCACCUAGAGUGGUACCUAAUAAAACACACAUAUGCGU
Molecule: long non-coding RNA, 1499 nt
Filed under: Equus caballus (horse)
Lineage: Eukaryota; Metazoa; Chordata; Mammalia; Perissodactyla; Equidae
Description: lncRNA (ENSECAG00000047136.1)
Source: RNAcentral